ACAAACAAUAGUUCUGAAAGUGCCUCCAGCCCUCCCCCAGCUACACCGAAUGAACUUGGCAUUAUUAAGUCCGGCUCCUCCAUAUCUUCUCUGUCCAAGCUAAACUUUCCCAGAUCCUGGAUGGCAUCCUGAUCUUUCUCUGGCUGGGCUCCAUUUGUCAGUCCUAGGAGGGGCACAACGCUCACCCCCAGCGCUCGGACCAUGGAGACGCUGAGGGACAUCUCUCUGGGUUCUGGAUCCUAGAUAAUCAUCAUAGAGGGAGCAGACGUGGAGAUUUGGAAACCAGCCUCUUCAAAGACACAAGGACAAGUGCAGGAAACAGGACCCCCCAGCUUCGCUGGAUUAUGUUUUGCUUUGUUUUGAUAAUUGAUGUGAA
Long non-coding RNA from Callorhinus ursinus (northern fur seal), 376 nucleotides. RefSeq lists it as uncharacterized. The record is from RefSeq and is a predicted model, not a curated record. NCBI's taxonomy places the organism in Eukaryota, Metazoa, Chordata, Mammalia, Carnivora, Otariidae.